GCCAGAUGUGGAGGUGCAUGCCUAUAAUCCCAGAGACUGGGGGAGGCUGCAGCUGGUGGACCUUUUAAGUUCAGGAGUUCUGAGCUUCACUGGGUUGUGCCAGUCUGGUGCCCUCACAAAGUCUGGCACCAGUAUGGGGAACCUUGUUGAGCAGGGGCCACCAAGCUGCCUAAUGAGGGGCAAACUGGCCCAUAGCUGAAAGGGAGCAGGUCCAAACUCCUGUGCCUAUCUGCAAUGGGACCAGGCCUGUGAGUGGCCCUUGCAUUUCUAGUCUGGGUAAAAUAGGAAGGCCCAGACUUU
This is an unclassified non-coding RNA of Phascolarctos cinereus (koala), 300 nucleotides long. It matches the Rfam family "Metazoan signal recognition particle RNA". From Rfam's summary of the family: The signal recognition particle (SRP) is a universally conserved ribonucleoprotein. NCBI's taxonomy places the organism in Eukaryota, Metazoa, Chordata, Mammalia, Diprotodontia, Phascolarctidae. The record is from Ensembl.